Molecule: long non-coding RNA, 14054 nt
Organism: Peromyscus californicus insignis
Lineage: Eukaryota; Metazoa; Chordata; Mammalia; Rodentia; Cricetidae
Exons: 8
Source: RefSeq, a predicted model, not a curated record
ACAAGGGUGAAGAGUUCUUGCUUUGAGAGAAAGGAAGGGAGGGCUGGGCAGAACCAUUCCUGCUUACUGAAUAGGGGAAGCAUUGCUGUUGUCAUAGAAACCUGGGUUCAUUAUGAAGACUGUUUUCAAUGGCGAUCCAGGCGGUGUCCUGGAAAAUGAGCAUUGUUGGUGUUUGGACUGAGCUGAGCUUAUGGAUUCCUGGAGCCAUAGAGUUAUCUUCUCAAUUUUUAUCAAUCCUCUAGAAGAGCUGGUGAUUUUAAUUCCCAGGAGGAGCCGUUCUUUGACCCCUCUGUGUUGGACUGACCUAGCAUCUUGUCACUAACAGAUGAAGAUGGAACUGACAUUUAAAAAAUCAGAAAAUAUCACUUUAGCAAAGCCUUAAUUUUCUGCCAGUCAAAGGACUGAGUGUCAUCACAAGGCAGCUAAUGCCUGUAGCUGAGGUUUCUCUGCUUUACCAUAGUAGCCUACUUAAUAUCUCCACCAAUGCACUUAAGGACUGCCUUGAUUCAUAGUUUUCUUCACUUUGUUACUAGACAAACUACAUGAAACUGUUUCCACAUUGUAACAUGGAAUUUGUAAUAAUCUAAAUCUGUCCCAGCUGUAUUUUCUCACUAAUUUGACUCCAGAAUAAAACUUUCUUCCUAUGAGCUGAGAGCCGUGUUUUUGCAUUGACAUUUGUAAGUGUGUAUUUGUAUGUAUACUUACUAAAUAUGUCUCUGAGAUGCCGGGCAUAUUCAUCACUGAACGUUAAAUGAUGUGCUCAUGCCAUUCAUAGAUUAGGAGCUUAUGAGGAAAAAAUGUGGUAUGCAUUUUUCUCCCUUGUAUUCCUCAGCCAACAUCAUUACCUCAGUGCCUAGAUUAUUUCUGUGGGAUAUGACAGAUACUAAUUAUAUAUUUGUGAAAGUCAGUUAAAUCUAUUAUUACUGUGAUAGGUUUUGUGUGUUAUAAUUCUCCUACUGCCUCUUCAUGGUGAUCUGGUGUUUACUAUAUUGCUUAUCUAUUCCCCAUAGUUAUUUAUUCAUGCAAGGGUUUAUCUCAGUAUGUCUCAGAAUACCUAUUACGGUUACCCUCACAUAUUGGCAUUCUGUGUUUUGAAGCUCAAUUUGUCCAGGUAUUGGCCAGAAGAGUCCAUUAAAGGUGCCUGUGGAGCAUUUCCUGAGUCUAAACAUUGCACUGUCUGAGCCCUUGUAUAGAAAGGAAUUAAUGAUGUCCACCUCAAAGAAUCAUUUUGAGGCCUGAAGAGACAGAAAGCAGACACAUGUUGUGUGUGUCUAGUAAGGCAAAUUUCCCUUGCCUCUUUCAUGCAGUCAGUGUGAUGACUCUGGCAUGAAAGUAGUUCAUGAGUACACACAAGGGAGAGCACUUGGCAAGGUAAUGGCAAAUGAACAAGCUCUCACUUCCAUUAUGUGUAUGCAUUCCUAGGUAUCACUGUGUGUGUCCAUGGUGAUGUGAUGAGCUGGGAAGAGGAAAAGCAUCAUUGUAUACCUUCUACUGAUGGAGUCUGCACAGGGUAAAUGUGUUCCCAUGUGCAUAAAUGCUCGGUCAUCUCAGAUGGAUGGAAGGACCAAGGCACUCAGGAGUAAUAUAUUACAUCAGCUGUCCCAGAACUGCAUGGUAGGUUUUGAUUAUUUGCACUUAAAAUGGUGAGUGCCUGCAUGUCUAACUCUUUUUGAUGUUAUUGUAAAUAUCGUUCAUUUACAUACACCUCUUUUAAGAACAGAGUCUCUAAUACAUUUUCUUUAUGUGUGUAGAGGACUGUAUCACAUUACAUCACUUAUACUUGUUGCUUCAAAUAUCACACAGAACUGAGAGAUAGUAAGAGGACAAGGAAAUGUGGACUAUAUUGAAUCAUAUUUUUUCUUGCUGUGUACUGACCUGCAAGGAUUCAAUUCUGGUCCCCCUCCUUUUCAAGCAUCAAGAUGAGCUGGGAAGAGCAGGUUCAGAUAUGCAGACUGGGCACACAAGCAGGGUCUGUGCACUCAAUGGAAGGCCGUGACUGGGCACCUGUCCUGAAUCCAGCACCGGCCUCCACCUUCUCCUCCACCACCCUCCCUGCUCCUCAGCCACCAUUUCUUCUCCUGUGUUGGGCUCCAAACAUGGAUGCUCUUUUGGGGUCUGUGGCUUUCUCAGUUCUGACAGCAACUCUAGACCCCACCUUGAAGAUUAACAUCUCCCUGGGGUGCGAAUGGAGAUUUUCCAUGCCCUCUCUUCCAGGGCUUCUCCAUGCUUGGGUCUGAGACUAGGACUCUCAAGUGUGGCAGAGAAGAGGCAUAGAGGGCAGGCUGGAUAUAUUGGUGUGGUGUGGAAGGCAGGCAGGUGUACUUAGGGAGUUCUGACUUCUCUACCCAACUUGCCUUUAAAUCCAUCUGAAUAUGCCCCCUACUCUGUGACAUACUCAGUGUCUAGAUGCCUUGUUCCAGUUAUAUCUUCUCAAGAAAUUCCUGUUUUGUUAUGCCAUGCCUGAAAUCUUAGGAGCUUUAAAAAGAUCUCCAUCACAUAGCUCUCUCACUUGCAUCUCUGACAAACAAAUGAUGUUGUGUGACUCCAUUGCUUUAACGAGUUGUAAACAAGGAGUCCCUGUUGUUAUGUGGGAUGCCCCUCUCUCCCCCUUCACCUAGCCUUGGGGCGGUCCCAUUAUAGUAGUCUUGAAACCUCAUUAAUAGACUAUGUUGCCUCUCUUCCAAAAGACAGAAAUGGCCUUCUGAAUGGAGACAGUCCACUCUCUCCCUGGUAAGAGUUAAUCCAGGAGGGUCAGCCAACCAGGAGUCCAAAGGACCUCUUCUCAAAAAUGGAGAUCCUUCCCCUAAGCCAAACCAAAAACACAAAAGGGGCUGUACUGAUCCCUUCAUGAGGUAAUGUGCCUCCCCUUCUAUAAGCCAUGCUCCUCUGGCAGUCUCCCUCAGAGCUGCAAUCUUGCAGCCUCUAGGGGUUGCCCACUUUCCUCUCUUUUCUUGGUGUGCUUUCACUAACUCUCUUUCCUUCCCAGACACUGUGACCUUUCUCUAAAUUUCCCUCCCUCCCUACCGUGUGGCUGCUUAUGAACCCUGUGUGUCAGCCAUGCAGACUAAUUCAGAUGGGACAGCUUUCCUCUUUUUCUGUUCGAGAUUUGCAAUUACCUGUCCUGGAGCUUUUCAGGUUUUUCUUUCUCUGUUUUCCUUCUUAGGUUUAUUUAUUAUAUACUAUGUGUGUGAGUAUUUCGCCUGCAUAAAUGUCUGUGUACCACUUGGGUGCCUGGUAUGCAAAGAGGUCAGAAAUGGCAGCAGAUGCCUGGAAUUGGAGUUGUGCAUGGCUGGGAGCCUCCUGGUGGAUGCUGGGAACCAAACCUGGGUCUUCUGCAAGAACAAGUGCUCUAAAGACAUUUGGUUUUCUCUUUUAAACUCUAAUGUCAUUGUCCUCCAGAUGCUAGAGAGAUGUCUAUGUAGUUAAGAGCCCUUUUUCUUGUUGAAGACCCUUGAUCAGUUCUCAGCACCCAUACCAUGUGUAUCUUCAUUUCCUGGGGAUCUGACAUCCUCUUCUGACCUCUUCCAACACCAGAACACAAUGUCUGUAUAUGCAUGCAUGCAGGCAAAAUACCCAUACACAUAAAAUUAUAAACAAUUCUUAACUUUUUAUUGUCAUCAAAAAUACAUUGAGUCUUUUUAAAAAUUGUGUUAUCAAUAAGCCCAAGAAACCCAAAAGGAUUUUCUGUUAUUUCUGGAAUCAAUAUGUGCUGUGGGAUGUGGUUCUAUAUGCUGUGCAUAUACGUUGGUCUCAUUGGUUGGUAAAUCAAGCUGUUUGGCCAAUGGUGAGGCAGAAUAAGGUUAGGCAGUACAUUCAGACUGAACAUGGAGAUGGAGAAGAGUGUAGUUGCAGCAAAUGCUGGGAACUGCCGCCAGGAGAAGCAAGAUGUGAGAGAACAGGUAAUGUCAUGAAGCCAAGUGGCCAAACAUAGGUUAAUAGGAAUGGGUUGAGUUAAGUUCUAAGAGCUAGCUGGCAAGAAGCCUGAGCCAUAUGCCAUACAGUUUGUAAUUAAUAUAAGCCUCUGUGUGUUUACUUGGGACUGAGAGUCUGCAGGACCAGGCAGGAUACAAGAAAACUUGUGGCUACAAUUGGCACCCAGGUGUGAUAUCCCUGGCCUGCUAAUUGCAGCUCAGUUGCCACCUGCAGAGGCCAGAACUUUUUGCUCCCCAGACAUACACUGUGGCCCCUGUCACCCUGUGCCUGUGUCUUUAAGCCCGUCACGGUGCUCCCAAGCCCACAUGGACAGGUGAGCUCUUAAAGAGCCACUAGGGCUGUAAUGAUGGCCCACCCACACGUUGGGGGCACCAGAUGUAGGCAGAAAUCCAAGGGAGUCUGCUUAAGGGGUAGAGGGAAUUUAUUAGGAUGUAAAUUGGAGAGAACAACUCACUAAACAGAAAAAAAGGCAAAAUCAUCUCAGAGUCCUGGAAGGCUGAUAUCCUGUCCCAUGCUCCUCCUGCUGCCUAAGUCAGUCCACACUACCCGAGUCCAGAGGGAGGAGGAGAGCCAGGCAUUCAUGCUCCCCAGGUCUCAAGCCUGCCUGAGGCCAUGCCCUGUGGGCUGGUACCUCAAGGUCAUAGGUGGAACAGGUAUCCACUAAAAUAUGUCUUAUUAAUAAUUGUUUUUGUUUCUAUAGACAGUCAUUUUCUGAGGAAUAUCCUUGGUUAUCCUAGAAAUUGCUUUGUAGUCCAUGCAAGGCCUGAACUCACAGAGAUGCCCACCUCUGUCUUCCAAGUGCUGGGGUUAUUCCCAUGCACCAUAAUUAAUGCCACGCUUCAAUAUGUCUUAAAAUAUAUCAUAAGGAUGAGACGAAUGAUUUGCUUGUUUAGGGUUUUUCUCCUCAUAGUUUAACUACUUUUGAUUAUUUUUAAAAAUGUAUUAUGGUCUGACCUGGAACAGUUAGGGAAAUCUGGCCAGGUAGUGUGACAUCAGUCACGGUUCAUAAUCUCUUCUUAGUUCUUAAGUCUCUUUAUUAACAUGGGGUUUGCUUAGUGCUCUAGUUUAUAUUUCCACAAAAGGACACACCUUAGCACUCUUUUUGCCAGGGCACCAUACACUGGAAAGAACACAGCUGUAUACUGUAGCUAGAGUUUUCCUGCCUGGCCCACAGUCAGGACAAAUCUCUCUCACCUGCCAGUCCCACAGUCGUUCAAACCCGACCAAGUAAACACAGAGACUUAUUUUGCUUACAAACUGUAUGGCCAUGGCAGGCUUCUUGCUAACUGUUCUUACAGCUUAAAUUAACCCAUUUCUAUUAAUCUAUACCUUGCCAUGUGGCUUGUGGCUUACCGGCAUCUUCACAUGCUGUUUCUUAUCGUGGCGGCUGGCAGUGUCUCUCUGACUCAGCCUUCCACUUCCCAGCUUUAUUCUCCUCCUUGUCCCGCCUACACUUCCUGCCUAGCCAAUGGCCAAUCAGUGUUUUAUUUAUUGACUAAUUAGCAACACAUUUGCCAUACAGAACAUCCCACAGCAGUAUACCUUUCAAUACUUAAGCUUAAAUCACAUGUAAGGAAAUCCCCUGCUGUGUUUGUGUUCAGACUUUGCAAACUGAUUUUGCCAUGGUUGAUUUUCCCGAUCUAUGGAGGUUUUUUUCAUGACCUUUCAUCACAGUAACAAAAAAGUAACUAAUGCAACUUGUUAAAGGGAUUUCCAUGAGGAAGUUUUGUUAUGUUUCCUUUUCACCUGCCUCUCAGAACUGAGAAAUUACUCAUAAUUACCUUCCAUACGUAAUCUUAUAUCAUGAUUUUCCUUGAUAAAAAGACUGUUGAUACAUGUGUGAAUUAUUAUAUUUAUGUUAAGAAUGUUCUCAUAUGUUUGUAUUUCUAUUACCAUGUAUGAAGAAUUCAAUCAUAUAUCUUCUUAUUGUUUUGUCAUGAUUUUAAGUUAGUUGAGUUCUGGGACUUGAAGAGGGAAGUAUUAGGAGGACCCCUGACAUACUCAAACACUUCUGGAAAAAGACCAUAGUGAAAUUGGGGAUCCAAGGAGACAGGCUGAGGAAAAAUCUGUUGGCUCUUUUUCAAAUCUACCCUCAAGGGCACAGCAGCACAUUUGAUGGCUAAAACAAGAUAUCAUCCAUGAGAUUUAACGGCACAUGACUGGACUAUGUACUCGCUUGUUUCCUUCUAAACUAAUGAUGAAGUUAAUGUUUGUUGUAGAGAGUCUAGAUGUAUUGUGGUCUUGGAUGACCCAGGGGAGAAAAAUGGAAUGAAGGAGUUUCCGAGACCAUUCAAUGUGGUUCAACUAAGUAGCUAAGUUUCUCUUUACUAAGAUAAGUAUAAUAUGCCAAUUCUGCUUCUUUCAAAUAAGUUUGAGAUUCCUUUGGUGACUUUUUUUGGUCUCUUGUAUCUUACACUGGCAUCAAACUUACAUUGUAAGGAGGAGGGUCUUGGACUCCUGGUCUUCCUUUCUCCACUUAGGGAGUUGGGGGAUUGUAGGCAUGUGCCACCAAUCUGGGCUAAAAGUAGUUUUUUGGUAUUUUGGGGGGAUUUUUUUUGGUUUUGUUUUAUUUGGGUAUUUUAGUGUUCCUAGGCUAUUUAGUGAUGGUGUUGGAGGAAAAUCUUGCAGUUUUCUGCCAUGGAUGGAUUGUGCAUUCCUCUUUAGAGGAAUGUCCAUGUCCCAUAGCUCUACCAUAUAUCCCUUCCUAUACAUUGCUGGUAGUUGCAUAAGCUCACUACCAUAAUAUGCUAAAUUCCUGACAAGAGAUACUUUAUUUCCAAAACCUGAGUUCUGUUGAUUGUGUCCACCUAGAUCCUUGUAGUUAUGCUUCUCAGUUGGUGGCCUUCUAAGGAAGACGUUUUUUGCUUUGAAUGAAAAGUAAGGUGGGAAGGGAGGACUGCAUCUCCAGAGGCAUUUCCCGUGUGCAGGAACAGUUGCACACCACGGUUGACAGAAGCAUAGCAUCAUGACAGCUACCCGGACAACAUUGCUUAUUUUCCGCCUCUACUGAAAAUACUUUCUUUUCUCAUUUAUAUCCUGGUUAGUUUCCUCUCUCUCUAAUCCCUCCAGUUCCUCCCUUCCUCCGACGCCAUCCAGAUCCACCCCCUUUCUGACUCUUGUUAGAGAAGAACAGGCUUCUAAGAGAUGCAAGAAAACAUAUCCAAACUAAUUAGACUAAGAUAAAAUCCAACUAUCACACAGAAGUUAGACAAGGCAAGCCAACAGAAGGAAACAAGAAGCGAAGGAAGGCCAAAGAGUCAGAGACCCACUCUGUCACUCAGUCAGGAGUCCCACAAAAACAUGAGGUGAAAGCUGUAAUGUAGACACGGAGGACCUGGUGCAGAGACAUGCAGGCCCUGUGCACGCUGCUUCAGUCCCUGUGACAGCCUUUUUCAGGAUGUUUCUGCACAAGGUGUCCUAGACUUUAACUUUUUGUUAGGGGAUCAUAUGUGCAUAGCUAAUUAUUGGAUGAAAGUAUUGGAUGAAAUCUGUCACCAUAACAACAAUGUUCAUCUAUGACCUUGACUACUUUUCCAUGGAGACCGCCAUAGACUGGAUGAUUCUGCACAAGGUGUCAGAGACUUUCAAUUUGGGCCAGUUAUUGGUUGAAAUUGUUCAUCUGUUACCAUGACAUCAAUGUUCAUCUAUGACUGUGACUACUUUUCCAUGGAGACCGCCAUAGUCUAUGACAACAGAGUGAUGACAUUUCCAUGGAGACCACCAUAUUCAGGUGAGUAGACUAUGGUCACGCUUCAAGGGAUAUGUUUGGUUUACAGACAAAAAAGCAAAGCUCUGCUUUCCUGCUGGUGGCCGUUUCUCUAAUGGGUAUGCUUUCUCGGGUGAUAACAAGGGUGAAGAGUUCUUGCUUUGAGAGAAAGGAAGGGAGGGCUGGGCAGAACCAUUCCUGCUUACUGAACAGGGGAAGCAUUGCUGUUGUCAUAGAAACCUGGGCUCAUUAUGAAGACUGUUUUCAAUGGCGAUCCAGGCGGUGUCCUGGAAAAUGAGCAUCCCUAGUUUUGGACUGAGCUGAGCUUAUGCAUUCCUGGAGGUGAGCACUGGAUUCUUCCUGAGGGUGGAGAGGAAGAUGCAGGGAUCCCAGACCCAAGUAGGUUCACCCCCACUUCAGGAUUUGUAGCCAGUGUGUCUCCAGAAGGAGAGAAAUUUGAAACUAUUGUGCCUCUUCAGUGUGCUGUUCUGUGCAGGGACGGGUGUGCUGGAGUCAUUGUCCGGGCUAGGUGUUCUGAAGAAGGAAGCAGGAGGGACAUAAGACAAUGUGAGCACACUCUGAUCCCAGUUUCCUGCUCUGUGAAAAGGGGAUGAGAUUGCUCACUCUCAGGAUCGGGGGGACAGUAAGUGAUAAAGCCUAAAGAGAAGUCAAUGAUUACCCUGCAUGUCUCAGAUGAUGAUUUCAAUAUGCAGUUGGUUAGAGGAUUUUCUUUUUCGUUUUUAGUAAUUUGAGGUUUUAUUUGCUUUUGAGACAGCAAUCACUGUGUCCUAUCCUGGCUGAGAACUCUCAGUCAUUCUCCUGCCUCAGCUGCCUCGUGAAGGGACUUCAGGUGUGGGAUACUGUGUGCUUGGCACCAGUUUGGGAUUUUAUUUUCCCUUUUUGUGAUACCCACCCACCAGGUGGCCCUGAUGUCUCCUCAGAAUCCCUGCCAUGAUGCUCUCUGCAUAUGGCACUAAUAUUUCUAAUGAAUCUCUUAUAAAAAGGACAGUCCUAUCAAUGUCCCUCUUGAACAACACACCUGAAACCUUUCCCAUUUCUCAAUUUCUAUUUUCUGCCUGACUUUUGUGAGCUUUUCUGUAUGAUUCAUAGAAAUUUGUUGUUAAAUAUGUGUUUUUCUAACUUUUCUCCUAGCCAUAGAGUUAUCUUCUCAGUUCUCAUCCAUCCUCUGGAAGAGCGGGAGAUUUUAAAUUGUAUCACUGUGUGUGUCCAUGGUGAUGUGAUGAGCUGGGAAGAGGAAAAGCAUCAUUGUAUACCUUCCACUGAUGGAGUCUGCACAGGUAAGGCACCGCCAAUCCAUCCCCCGGGUUUUAUUGCUUUCUCAUUCUGGAUUCCUCAAUUUCAUGUGUUUUCUUUCCUUCAUGCUACGUUGUAAUUUAAAGAGGAUUUAUUCUCUGUGCUUUCCCAUCCCAUAAGCCCACUCUUCUAGCAAUCUCAAGCAUAGUUGCAAUCUUGUAGCCUCUAGGAUCUGCACACUUUUCUCUCUUUUCUAGGUGUCCUUUCACUAACUCUCUUUUCUUCCCUGACACUGUGACCUUUCUCUAAAGUUCCCUCCCUACCAUGUGGCUGCUUAUGAACCCUGCAGGCUUAAUUCAGAUGGGACAGCAUUCCUCUUUUUUCUGCUCAACUCUUUCCUUGGUGCAGCUGAGAUUUGCAAUUACUUGCUCUGGAGAUUUUCAGGUUUUCUUUCUCUGUUUUCCUCCUUAGGUUUAUUUAUUUCAUUCUCCAUGUUUGAGUAUUUUGCCUGCAUAAAUGUCUAUGUACCACUUGGGUGCCUGGUAUGCAAAGAGGUCAGAAUUGGCAUCAGAUCCCCUGGAAUUGGAGUUGUGCAUGGUUGUGAGCCUCCUGGUGGAUGCUGAAACCAAACCUGGGUCUUCUGCAGGAAUAAGUGCUCUAAAGACAUUAGGGUUUCUCUUUUAAAUUCUAAUGUCAUUAUCCUACAGAAGCUAGAGAGAUAUUUCUGUAGUUAAGAACCCUUGUUCUUGUUGAAGACCCUUGGUCAGUUCUCAGAACUCAUAUGGAAGGUCACAACCAUCUGUAACUUCAGUUCCUGGAUUUCUGACAUCCUCUGCUGACCUCUUCCAGCACAGCAAUACAAGAUCUGUACAUGUAUGCACGUGGGCAAAAUAGCCACACACAUAAAAAUUAUAAACAAAUCUUAACCUUUUAUUGUCAUCAAAUUUCCAUUGAGUCUUUUUAAAAAUUAUGUUAUUAAUGAGCCCAAGAAUCCCAAGAGGAUUUGCUGUUAUUUCUGGAAUCAAUAUGUGCUGUGGGAUGUGGUUCUAUAUGCUGUGCAUAUAUGUUGGUCUCAUUGGUUGGUAAAUCAAGCUGUUUGACCAAUGGUGAGGCAGAAUAAGGUUAGGCAGUACAUUCAGACUGAAUAUGGAGAUGGAGAAGAGUGUAGUUGCAGCAAAUGCUGGGAACUGCCUCCAGGAGAAGCAAGAUGUGAGAGAACAAAUAAUGUCAUGAAGCCAAGUGGCCAAACAUAGGUUAAUAGGAAUGGGUUGAGUUAAGUUCUAAGAGCUAGCUGGCAAGAAGCCUGAGCCAUAUGCCAUACAGUUUGUAAUUAAUAUAAGCCUCUGUGUGUUUACUUGGGACUGAGAGGCUACAGUACCAGGCAGGAUACAAGAAAACUUGUGGCUACAAUUGGCACCCAGGUGUGAUAUCCCUGGCCUGCUAAUUGCAGCUCAGUUGCCACCUGCAGAGGCCAGAACUUCCUGUUCCCCCAGACAUACACUGUGGCCCCUGUCACCCUGUGCCUGUGUCUUUAAGCCCGUCACGGUGCUCCCAAGCCCACAUGGACAGGUGAGCUCUUAAAGAGCCACUAGGACUGUAAUGAUGGCCUACCCACACAUUGGGGGCACCAGAUGUAGGCAGAAAUCCAAGGGAGUCUGCUUAAGGGGUAGAGGGAAUUUAUUAGGAUAUAAUUUGGAGAGAACAACUCACUAAACAGAAAAAGGCAAAAUCAUCUCAGAGUCCUGGAAGGCUGAUAUCCUGUCCCAUACUCCUCCUGCUGCCUAAGUCAGUCCACACUACCCAAGCCCAGAGGGAGGAGGAGAGCCAGGCUUUCAUGCUCCCCAGGUCUCAAGCCUGCCUGAGGUCAUCCCUAGGUAGAACAGGUACCCACUACAAAUAUGUCUUUUUGAUAAUUGUUUUUGUUUCUAUAGACAAUGAUUUUCUGAGGAAUAGCCUUGGCUAUCCUGGAAACUACUCUGUAGUCCAUGCAAGGCUUGAACUCACCUCUGCCUGCCAAGUGCUGGGAUUAAACUCAUGCACCAUAAUUAACGACAAAUUUCAAUAUGUCUUAAAAUAUAUCAUAAGGAUGAGAUGAAUGAUUUGCAUGUUUAGGGUUUUUCUCCUCAUAGUUUAACUACAUUUGAUUAUUUUUAAAAAAUGCAUUAUGGUCUGACCUGGAAGAGUUAGGGAAGUCUGGCCAGGUAGUGUGACAUCAGUCGUGGUCGAUAAUCUCUUCAUAGUUCUUAAGUCUCUUUAUUAACAUGAGUUAUGCUUAGUGCUCCAGUUUGUAAUUGCACAAAAGGACACACCUUAGCACUCUUUUUGCCAGGGCACCAUACACUGUAAAGAACACAGUUGUAUACCUUUCAAUACUUAAGCUUAUAUCACAUGUAAGGAAAUCCCCUGCUGUGUUUGUGUUCAGAGUUUGCACACUGAUUUUCUAUCGUUGAUUUUCCUGAUGUAUGGAGGUUUUUUCAAACAGUGGCAGAGCUGCUAAUAGGCUGGAUGGAUGUCAUUUGAUUCACCCACAUGGAAAUCAAUGUGGGUAGAUGGGGAGAUCUUCAACUGCUGGAUUUGUCCCAUUUUCUUUCCCACUGAACUUGACAACUGCCAGUCAUGAGCAUAUGCAGGCUGAUAUAGAAACAGGCCCCUCAGCCCUGCCAACGUUACAGAUCUUGUGGCCCCACAGGGUGCAGAUUGCUCAGCUCCUGGCUCCAACUUGCACCACAGCUUCAGGGCAGUCUAAGUACCAGGGCUACUCAGUCCUUAACUGUAGCUAAGUUUUCCUGCCUGGCCCACAGUCAGGACAAAUCUCUGCCACCUGCCAGUCCCACAACCGCUCAGACCCGACCAAGUAAACACAGAGACUUAAAAUGGUUUCAAACUGUAUGGCUGUGGCAGGCUUCUUGCUAACUGUUCUUACAGCUUAAAUUAAUCCAUUUCUAUUAAUCUAUACCUUGCCACGUGGCUUGUGGCUUACCGGUACUUUACAUCUUCCUUGUCCUGAUGGCGGCAGGCAGUGUCUCUGACUCAGCCUCCUGUUCUCUCAAUUCUCCUCUCUGUUAGUCCCGCCUAUACUUCCUGCCUGGCCACGGGCCAAUCAGUGAUUUAUUUAUUGACCAAUCAGCAACACAUUUGACAUACAGACCAUCCCACAGUACUUAACAGUAGCCACUGACAGAACUCUUCUGUAGGUGCUGGACUCAGUGCUCCUUAACCCUAAUACAAACUGAAAUGUAGAUAGGCUUCGGGAACCCUCCACAGCCAGGACUUUCAUUUUCUCUUUCCUGUCGUCUUACAGCCCUUCUCCUUCUUCAGUAGCAACCCUCCUAGCUCUCUUGACCCCUUUCUACUUCCCCUGCCCUUCUUUCUUUCCUGGCCCCUUGAGGUUUUUCAGCUGUUGCUUCUUCAGCCGUCAGACAGCUGGUUGCCUUGUCUCUUCUUCUACUUGGCCUUACAUCCCCACUGUCAAUGCCAUUCCCCUCUCCUCUAUGUCUACCUGUCCCUGUCCCUCUGUCCUCCCCCUUACCUCUGUCUCAUGCUCCUUACCUGAGACACAGUCUUCAUAGCCCAGGUGGUCAUUGAAACAUGACCCUGCUGCUGCCCUCGCUGAUAGCUGAGAUUACAAGUGUGACCCAUUACACUUGGUUCUGCUGGUGCUAACUCCAUCCCAUCAGCUAUGGUACUGAACAUAGGUAAAGGAGGACAAAGCAAGAGAGGCCUGUUCUUGUGUCUAAUGCUACAACACCAGGUCACACAGCACAGGAGAGCAUCUUCCAGUCAAGCCUGAGCAACCUGAUUGUAUUUGGGACCAACUACAACCAUCUGGAAGACAAUCACAGCCUUGCCUCUCAGCAUCAAUCACCAUCACUCAGGUUUGUGUUUUGUCCCAGUGCAGUUUUGCCUUUUACCACCAAUCACAGUCACCGAGGCUUUGCUUUUAAACCAAUCACAGCUUGUGUCUGACCACUAGACAUACAGUACCUCUCCUAGGCCAUCCCAAAAAGGGCUCCCCUCAGGCUUAUUGGAAAUUAUUUCAUGCCCUUCUAAGUUUCCCUGAGGCUUGUGAUAACUAAAUCCAGUGAAAACAGUUUCACAACAGACAGGCUAGAGCCAUAUCCUAGGACUAGCACAAACCAGUUGUGGUCUUAGGACAGUUUUCUCAGGGUAUCUGUGGAGGGUUGGAGACAUCUGCUGAAGACUUGACAAGUCUGCCUGGCUGUUGGACUCACAGUCUUCUUGCCCAAGGUAGCCAGGGCAGCAAUGAUGUCCACAGCUGCCAAUUAUGUUAGUGCAUGCUUCAUCAUCAUUGCUCAUAGGAAAGAAACAUUAGCAAGUGUUUUUACACCAGAACUCAAAGAUCACCAACAGUGAUUUAAAAACAACCCUGAUUUUGAUAAUGCAUUAGCAGUAUUGAAAAUGGGGGAUCCCCCAAUGACGGAGAAAUGGAAGAGAUCUACAUGAACAGCCUGGACAUGAGUGGGGGUAAUGAAGGGCGAGGGUCGAGGGAAAGAGAGCUUGGGGGAGCGGAAGAUCCCAGAUCGAUCAACAACAGAGAGGGAGAAGAAGGAAUAGGAGACCAUGGUAAAUGAAGACCACAUGAGAACAGGAAGAAGCAAAGUGCUAGAGAGGCCCACAGAAUUCCACAAAGAUACCCCUACAACACACUGCUGGCAAUGGUCGAGAAACAGCCCGAACUGACCUACUCUGGUGAUGGGAUGGCCAAACACCCUAAUUGUCGUGCUAGAAACCUCAUCCAACUACUGAGGGAUCUCGAUGCAGAGAUCCAUGGCUAGGGCCCGGGUGGAGCUCUGGGAGUCCAAUUAGCGAGAAUGAGGAGGGUUUAUAUGAGUGAGAAUUGUUGAGACCAAGGUUGGAUAAAGCACAGGGACAAAUGGCCAAACCAAUGGAAACACAAGAACUAUGAACCAAUGGCUGAGGGGGCACCAACUGGAUCAGGCCCUCUGAAUGGGUGAGACAGUUGACUGGCUUGAUUUGUUUGGGAGGCAUCCAGGCAGUGGGACCGGGUCCUGUGCUCAUUGCAUGAGUCAGUUGUUUGAAACCUGGGGCCUAUGCAGGGUCACUUGGCUCGGCCUGGGAGGAGGGGACUGGAUCUGCCUGGACUGAGUCUACCAGGUUGAUCUCAGUCCGCGGGGGAGGC